Small nucleolar RNA from Episyrphus balteatus (marmalade hoverfly), 93 nucleotides. RefSeq annotates it as small nucleolar RNA Z122. NCBI's taxonomy places the organism in Eukaryota, Metazoa, Arthropoda, Insecta, Diptera, Syrphidae. The transcript has a single exon. The record is from RefSeq and is a predicted model, not a curated record.
UUUGAGAGAUGACGCAAAUCAGAAAAAAGUGUUCAUAAAUCCAAAGUAAAAUACAUGCCCAAAUAUUUUUUUUGACUAUAGUCUGAUCCCAAA